CACGUAGGGGGCAAGCGUUAUCCGGAUUCAUUGGGCGUAAAGCGCGCGCAGGCGGGUGCGCAAGCGGGACCUCUAAGACCGGGGCUCAACCCCGGGCCGGGUUCCGAACUGUGUACCUCGCCCCAGGUAGGGGUAGGCGGAAUUCCCGGUGUAGCGGUGGAACGCGCAGAUAUCGGGAGGAACACCGACGGCGAAGGCAGCCUACUGGGCCUUAGGGGGACGCUGAGGCGCGAAAGCCGGGGGAGCAAAC
This 250-nucleotide ribosomal RNA is filed under the name uncultured prokaryote. RNAcentral describes it as "partial 16S ribosomal RNA". It matches the Rfam family "Bacterial small subunit ribosomal RNA", at positions 524 to 773 of the family's 1533-position model. The record is from RNAcentral.